Long non-coding RNA from Equus caballus (horse), 3722 nucleotides. NCBI's taxonomy places the organism in Eukaryota, Metazoa, Chordata, Mammalia, Perissodactyla, Equidae. The record is from Ensembl.
ACUUGUUCAAAUUCGAGUUGAAGAUCCAGAUGGAAAAAUUUUGCCACAUUCCUUUAGACUUCUUCAGGACGUGCCAGAUGUCCACCAUCAUUCAGCAAUCAAAUGCUUAAAUUAUGCACUAUAGAUCAUCAGCAAAUAAGCUUAUUUAGAGUAAAUCAUUAAUUCUGUGGUGGCAGCAGUAAUGCUAAAGAAAGACAUUGGCGGUCCUCAGAGGCUGGCCACAGGAAGGAGACUUCAGCAGAGAGGGGAUAGGAUGAGCUGAGACCGGAGGGUGAAACACUACAGCCAAAAUUGUGGCGUGUGCUUAUGGUAAAGUGAAGAGAGCAGGUUGGCUGACUCCUUAAUGACAUCUUCCCCCUGAGGAUCAGUGUCCUCUUCGGGAUAAGCCGUUGAGGGAAGAACACAAAGACUUUGCAUCCAUCUUUGUCAUUCUCAUUCAUAGUCAUAGACUUCACACUUGGCUUGUCUGCUUUCCCAGAAGAGGGAUUCCUCUUGCUUGAAAAAUCUUAAAAUUCCUGAGGCUGGGACACUCCUAUCCCCUCACAAUGCUAAUUUUCUACCAACCGUUAUUUGUGGUCACAGCCUGGUUUCUCUCUUUCUUGGCCACUACCGAGAGGCUGGAAUUUCAACAAUCAUUUUCAUUUAAGAAUUGCUUAGUCACGCUUGAGUUCAAUGGGCUGCUUCAGAGGCUCAGCUCAGUGCGUCUAUGCUGAGGGGAAAUAUGUCGCUUCUGCAAUCUGUCUGGUCUGCAGGCUUAAAGAACAGAAGACCUUCAGGAAACCCGAGCUUCUGAGAGCGAGAUCUGCUUUGGUGGAAAGAAGAUGAGCAACUUUUGAGCAUCUGUAACGCCCAGCUGCUCCCUGGCACUGGGAGCACUUAUUUCGCUUCCCCGGUAGCCUGGAGAGCACCACGGGAAAGCGUCGGCUGCCUGAGAGCACAGUGGGUUGGUCUGCACUUUGGCUGAAGGAGGAAACGUGAAUCGGAGAGCUGACUGGUGUUUCCACCAACGUCUCUGUGGAACCUGGUCUGAAGGGCUCUGUCAUCGGCCCAUCGCUGAAAAACUCGCUCAUCAAUGACUUGUCUGACAAUAUAAUAAUAUGAAUCUGACCUCUGGAGUUGGCAGGAAGCUAACGGAUAAGACACAUAUAUGAGAUGAUGCGGUAGGUUCCUCAAAAGAUCUGGACAGGAAAGGUGAUGGAAAUCGAACACGUGAAGUUUAACAGAGGCCACAGAAGUUUUGCGCCUCCUCCCACGGAAACCAAAUAGAGGUCUAAGGUGGGCAUAUGAAACGUUACAGUCGUCGGUCUGCAGAAGAAGGGAGGCUAUUUCCUGAGCCCCCAUUAGCUCUGGCCUGGACCACUUCAGCCACCUCCCAACUUUCACGUGCAUUAUUCUUCUAAUUAGUUCAGUAUUAUAGGGACGUGAAGGAGCUUCUCAAAAUGUGUAUCUUAAGAAACUUAUCCUCAAACAUGUUUUCUUUACUCUUAGCUUCGUUCUAAAGUCUUCAACAUGCCUUCCAAGGUCUCCGUGACAUAUUUCUCCUUACCCUUCCAGCCUCACCUCUGCACCACUCCCUCUCUGGGCCAUUUCGUGCUUGACUGAAGAGACUGUGGUUGUAUUUCUCAGUUACUCAACUCUCUCUCCCUCCACUCUGCUGAACAGCACCCAUGAAUAUUUCGGAGCUUAUCGAAAUGUCAGUUUCUCAGAGAACCAUUACUAGCUUGGGUCCUUUUGCAUCCUUAAUAUUCUGUAACCUCUUUCAGAAGAAAUACACACAGAGUAUGUUGAUUUACUCUGUCUCUCCACGUAGACCACCUAAAAUCUUCGUGGGAUCGAGAACCACGUACAUCUGUUUCUUGUGUCUUGCCUAGUGAAGACGCCAGUGUAUUUAUGGAGUAAAUGUAUUAACAAAUCACACUUUAAGAUGUCCCUACCAUUCAGCGUUAAUGGCGUAGUAGAGCUUGAAGUGGGUAAGGUACUCCUUGGUUUUCAACAAAGUUCGAAGGGCAAGACGUCAAUAAAUAGAAAAACAUUGACUGCUUCUAAGUGAAGAAGACCUUGCAAAUAGAUGCCAUAUUUAUGUGAGCAUUGAUUUGCUUGGUGAGUUAUGGAGCACCUAUAGCCUUAUUACGCAGAUUGCGGUCCACGAACCUGCAGCCUCAGCAGCACAUGGACAGUCGUAAGAAAUGCAGACUCUUGAGUCUCCUCCCAAACCUGCUGAAUCACAAUCUGCAUUUUAACAAGGUCCCCAGGUGAUUACAAGCACAUUAAAAAUUUAGAAGUAUUGAUCCAUAGUAUCUUUAUAUUUAUGCUAUUAGCUAUUGAAAAUUAUUAUUUAAAAAUUUUCAACACAGUCACGCACCGCUCAGUGAUGGGGUACACUCUGGGAAAUGCAUUGUUAGGUGCUUUCAUCAUUGCGGGAACAGUCAUAGAGUGCACUUACACAGACCUAUAUGGUGUAGCCUACUACACAUCUGGGCUGUGUGCUACUAAUCUCAAGGGACCACUGUUGUGUAUGAGGUCCGUCGCUGACCGAAAUGUGAUGUGGUGCAUAACAGUGUAACAGAUAGAGCGCAUCACUGGGAGACAAUAAACUGAAUAACUGAUGGUUGGUUUCCAUCACCCUCCAAUGGGCAUCCCUUAUAAGGAAAUGUACAGACCACAUUUGGCCAUUCUCAAGAUCAGGGCACAAUCAGGAUUUUUCUCUACCAAACAAACAAACAAACAAAACCUUUCAAAGUCGAAUCAGCAGAGAAAGCAGAUGGCAAACAACCUCACAGUUUAAAAUUCCUUCUGCAAGCCCGUGAUGUAUUACAAGCAGCUAGUCUGUAGCCUGCUGUUUGGAAUAUACCUUCGAAACAGACGUUUCUGAAAACCGUGUCAUUUCAGUGACCGAGUUGCUGCGUGCCACCGCAGUCACUGAGACCGACUUCUAAUUAUUUUGGCUUCCUUCCUGUAAAUUACCAGAGAAAAGUCUAACUCCCCAUAUGGUUUGCUGAUACACUAAUAGUCACAAACCAUCUUCAGGUGCAGUUAAUCUCUAGUCAGGUGCUCCGUAUACUGGAGCAACCACUGGUUAAUUUUGUUAGCCAGGAAGAAUUCUACUGUGAAUAAUCUUAUUUGCCUCGUGUGAACGUUCAUCCACGAAUGCAUAUCACAGAGAACACAUUUUAAGUGCUGGCUCCCCAUGAACCUCAUCCCAACACUGGCGAUGGAACUCCGCCAGAGGUCCAGGACUUUGGUCCGAGUUAGUAAUCUGGGACGAGGGGCUUCUUUUUCCCCUGCCAUGUUUCUGCUGCUGUUUUAUUAAGCGUUGCAGAGUGUCCUGUCAACCUCACCCAGAAAGACAUCGCUCUCUCUCCAGAAGUCUUGGAAUCUAAGCCCGUCUGACAGUACAACUCCGACGUGUUUCUAAUAAUCGUUUAGAAGCUCUGUGACAGAAUUCUUUUUCCAUCUGUCAAGAACGAUACACAGGCAUUUUGAUCACUGUCACAAUUUAGAGAGCAGGUAACGAUGCACAAGCUGAGAAUUCCCCUCCCAGACUCAGUGAUGGAUUCUGGUUGAGGCUCAAAGAUUUAAUGAAACCCGAGUUUGAAUGUAGAACACGUUUUUCCACUUUCUCCUUGCUCACCCAGGAGCUUUGCUGACCCAUGUCUCUCCCUUCUCUAUGAUCUUCGAUUGCUCCUAUUUUUCUUUUUCCCAGAAAGAGUAAUAUAGACAGG